This 4788-nucleotide long non-coding RNA is filed under the name Paramuricea clavata. Lineage: Eukaryota; Metazoa; Cnidaria; Anthozoa; Malacalcyonacea; Plexauridae. The record is from RNAcentral.
GCUUGAGUCUUGACAUUUUUGUGGUUUUGUAUUUCUUGUGCAAUUACACUCGAGACCUGCGGCACCAACAAGAUGCAAGGAUAUAUUUGAUAUUUCAGUUUUUUACCUUUUACAGUAUUCAUUGUUAGCUUUCAGGUAAGUAUAUUGAAGCUUUUCUGAAUGAUUUUGCCUACUGUGCGUUCGCGUAGUUAUAAAACCGUGUGAGGGUCGAUAUCUUGUAUAAAUUGACUUUUUGUUCACUGCCAGAACAGACCAUAUAUCACCACAAUUACCUGACAUGAAUUUUUUUAAUUAUUGAUUUUGUCUUAAUAUGUAUUUGAUAUUUCAUGUGUCGUCGAUAUAAAAGUUUGAUUCUGAUCGUCAGCGACGUUUUGAUAGUAUUUCAGUUGUGACGAUCGAUGAUUUCCAAUUGCUCAACACUGAAAUGUGGUGUCAUUUUGUCUACAAUAGAUCAGUAUACAUAUUUCUGAAGAACGCAUCCUCAUUUACAUAGAAGAAAGCUAUGACAUGUAAACAUCAAGGUCAUCAAUUAGACUGCAUUGAGGGGAAAACCCCUGUCAUUUUGAGAACAUAGAACAACCCAAUGAGAAGUGCAGCUAGCUUUCAUUACUGAAGUUGCAUGACAUGCAUAGGUGUUUAUUAAUGAACAAAAUUCAGAAUGACAAGAAGUGUGACAAAUUUGCAACAUUGGUUACAAAUAAUGGCAACAUUGAAUUGGCUGAACAUUAACCCAUUGAGUAGUGGCACUCUCCCCCUGAUGAGAAACCACAUCUGGCAUUAUAGGGUGCAUUGCCACUUAAAGGGUUAAUAUCUGAAGUCAUAUGUUAAACCAAGUCAUGUCUGUGAUAUAUCUAUCACAUGUUAAGUUAUAAAUCACAAGCAUCAUGCUUUGAUAUUCUGCAUCACAUCAUCUUACCUUAACCUUACCUAAACCCAGGGGCGAAACUAGCCUCUCUUAAUUCGGGGGGUGUCUGCCAGAAUUGCCCUGCCAAAAACAAUGAUGUCCUGCAGCAAAUUUUUAUUUCUGAGACCAUAUUUUUCCCAAAAAUGUUGGCGAGCGAGGUGAAAAAAUUUUUUCCGCACAUUAAAAAACAUGGUGCAACUGAAGCCAUAGCUGAAAUCCGGAGUUUGCACAAGCAGUGAGAGCUUGUUGUUGGAAAGUCCCUAUAACUUCCUGACAAAUGGUCUUCGCUUGAAACAUAAAGUUUUUCUUUCACCGUAUUUUUCAGGUAGUUGACAUGUGUAUCCGGGCCUUCACACUGCAUCUGUCUAUACAGUAAUUGUAUGCAUAAAAUGCGAUGAAAGUUAUUUGACAUAUAUAAAACUUACCGAUUUAUGCCAAGAAAGCUAUAUUUAGAGAGCACAACAUAGAGAGCUCAAGGUUCAGAUUUUUACUUCCACUACUGCUACCAUCAGGCCUGUUGCGGUAUAUUGAUUUAGUCGAUAAAUAUAGAAAUUUCAAAAAUAUCAAUAUUUGAUACUCGAUUUUUUGAAUACCGAAAAUAUAUUGAAAUUAUUUAUUUCCUGGUAAAGUCGCACGUAAAUAGUAAAUAAAUCUUUUUAACAUUCAUAAAAUGACCAUAUUGCAGUAAAUAAACCUUUUGAUAUUUGAUUAGUUUCACACAACUUUGUUCUUUUGCUGUUUUUGAUGCGGUAUACAUUUAUCUUGCUGUUUGUGAUGCGGUAUAUUGACUAAACUACAUUUCGUAAUUUUGCUAAUAAAUUUGCAUAUUUUUUAUAUUAAAGUCGAUAUUUUCGAUAUAUUUUUUUAUAUCAAUAUAUCGAAAUGUUCCAAUCCGCAACAGCCUAGCUACCAUUACCAUUAACCAAUUAGUUGCAUACCUUAGUCUACCUAGUGUGAGAGGACUAGUGGUAGUGGAAGUCACAUCUAAACCUCUCAAAUAAACCAGUUGGAAAAAUUAUCAAAGCCGAAGUUUGUGAAUAUACGCAACUGCUGAACCUAUGGGUUAUAUUCUUCAAAAUAGUCAUGACUAGUUCUUGCCAUUUUCAAUGUGUACUCUUUUCUUUCAAAUGUGUGCUCUUUUCUUUCAAAUAUAAGUCAGUAAAAAAUAUUUCAGUCUUUCAUUGGUGUUUUUUUUUAUUUACUGUAGUAAGGCAGUCACACCCACCCACCAUGUCACUGACAUCAGAACUCCAUAGUUGGCCUGCCAUUGAGUUUAUAAUAAUAAUAAUAAUAAUUUAUUCAAACAAAGUCCCAAUAUUGGAACAUGGAUUAUUAUUCACAGUUGAGUGUUGGUUUGAGCCAAUCAGAAACCACAAAGUCACCAAAUGACCUUGCUUUUACUCUCGAUUUCAAUUUGCUUUUCAAAACUGACUUCCAAUGUUUACUUGUAAAUUCGGAAUGUUCAUUGUAAAGUUCCGAAGUUUGUUUCGAAGUUCGUUACGAUGAUUUACGAUGAUUCAAUAGCAAGCGAUUUGAUUGGCUGGUUCACUUAACUAGCCAAUUACAACUUACUAAACUUGAUCAUCGUAAAUCAUCGUUAGGUAACAAACUUCGAAACAAACUUCGGAACUUUACAACGAACAUUCCAAAUUUACAAGUAAACACUGGAAGUCAGUUUUGAAAAGCAAAUUGAAUUCGAGAGUACUUGACAGAAGUCACGUGAUUUUACUCUGGGCUCUCUACAUGCACCCUUGAUCCGAUUGGUUUGCUUCUAAUUAAGUCGUUGUUACACUGUUCGUAUAUGUAUUUCAUUUUCACUUACCUGUAUCUACCAUAAAAUAACUCAGUGGCAGUUAGCGUGGUAUACCUGUAUGCCUAUAUAGGGAAUAGGACUGUACAGUAUUUCACAAUAGAACACUGUUUAGCUAUAUCUGUCCUUACCUAACUUUAAUUCUCACCUUAUUUGUUACUUUCAUAAUCUUUCUUAUAUUUUUUUAAUAACCCUGUAGCUUCCUUUGUCUUUGAAUCCUUUCUUUUUCCUUAGUAAUAUAUUCUUUAUGUGAUUUACAUUUUUUGUUUACACUUUGUUUUGACUAAAUCCAUCUGAUUGGUUUAUUUUUGUCACAUGAUCGCUUAUAUUCACCAGUACAAAAGCACAUGUAUUUUCCCGACCCCCGCUACUAGCUUCCCGAUGAAGGGCCUUCGCUCGAAAGGCCGUCGUUUUACUUGUAUAUUUGAGGUUUUUCCCUUUCAACCCGCAGCUUUCUGAUCAUAUGGAACAACCUAUGGUAUUGUGUAAUUUAUUUGCAUUUUAUAAUUAUAGGUUGAGUAAUUAAAAUGGGUGACAGCAAUGAAAGAACAUCUCUUCUCUUUGAUCCGUAAGUAUCUGAAACUGAACGGUCAAAACUUAAAGCACCAAGCAGGGCAUGUUUUAAAAGUUGAUAUCUGCCAUAUUAGAACAUACAUGAUUAGCACACAAAUAACGGCAGUUACUGUACGUAGUAAUUGUUUAAAAUGCAUCAUUAUCAUCAUCGUCCCAUCUGUCCCCUCAAAAGGGGUGAAGUCACUUCGAUACCUUUCUCCAUUCUAUUCUGUCGUCAACGUUAUCCAGUUCCACCACUCCAUCAUCCCACACACAAUGCAUCCACCGCCUCCUCGGUUGUCCUUUUAACUAAGAAUUUGACAAUGUGUGUUUUAUUUGCAUCAACUUUUACGAAAAAGGUCUGGGUUUCACACAGGGCUUGAAAAUGUACUUGUAGACCACUUUCUGGACAUAUAUAUAUAUAUAUAUAUAUAUAUAUAUAUAUAUAUAUAUAUAUAUAUAUAUAUAUAUAUAUAUAUAUAUAUACUGUACAAGUAUAUGUAAAGCCGUUUUUACACUAGAGACCUAUAGACCUUACCUAGGACAAACCUAGAACAGUUAGUCCUGUACUGUAGUGUAAAGUCUCAGGUCAGGCCUGCAGUGUUAUUACAUUUUCACUGACCCAAGACGUGCUCGAGACUAAUUUCCAUGACAACAAACGUAAUUUUGAGUCUUUGAUGUCAGCAUUCAGUAGAUGUCAUUUUCUACUUUGUACAGUAAUUCAUUUUGCAUGUAUAUAAUGGCCAAUUCAAUGGGACUUGGGCCUUUAGUCAGGUAACAAAUGUAAACACACCGUGUAAAGCCUGGCUAGAUACUUCUCAGGUACAGGUAAAUGUCAGUCCCUCAGUGUAAACACGGCUAGACUAACAUCACAUGCUCUCCCCCUGGAACCGGUUAACUGGCAGAGUGUCAGAAUAGCAAUCUUAUAUACGAGUUCAGCUUAGCCUCAUCCCAAAGGCUUCAUCCGCAGCCAUCUCUUACAGUAGUCUUGGGUUACGGUGAUCGAAAAGUAUUAGACCCUGAAGCCUGAUCUUAACCCUAUGCAUAGAGAUGCCUGCAAAGAAGGCUACUUCCAGCCCCGCGUGUACGUCAUUAACAUUAACAGCUUGUACUGAACAGUACAAAGGAAAGAAACAAAUGAUCAAGUAUCAAUUGACAUGCUACAAAACAAAAACUUACAAGUGAACGUACUAAAGCAAGCACUCAUUGCACCUUAAUCAAGGUGACGGCAGGUUAUCGCAAAAACUGCAUCCCAUCAGCGACGCUACAUCUCCAUGACCAUGGAUGCAUGGACCGCACAGUUAAAUAAUACGAGUCGACUUGUACCAAGUCUAGUACAAAUACAGAUUGGUGUAUACUGUAAUGUAUGUAGAAGUGAUUGUUUACUUUGCUUUUUCACUGAAGCUCGCAAUCUUCUGAAAGUGAAUUGCAGAUUCAGCCACAAUCUUCAGGUAUACAACGUAAACCACAUGGAAAGGCACCACCACACUACAAUACCAUAACCCAGAAUAAUUCCGAUGGG